Oryzias melastigma (Indian medaka) is the source of this 1843-nucleotide long non-coding RNA. RefSeq lists it as uncharacterized. The transcript has 2 exons. NCBI's taxonomy places the organism in Eukaryota, Metazoa, Chordata, Actinopteri, Beloniformes, Adrianichthyidae. The record is from RefSeq and is a predicted model, not a curated record.
AUAGGCUCCGGCACCCCCGCGACCCCGAAAGGGAAGACGCGGUCAAGAAAUUGGAUGGAUGGAUGGAGUAUUUAUCACAUCUUCUUAAUCCAGCAUAUGUGUACUGCUUAUCACAGCUGUAUCAUACAGAACGUCACUAUAUCAGUGGCAGAGUGAGAACAUUUCACUGCUUUCUCCCUCAGUCCAAAGACAUGCUUCAUUGGUAAAUUGGUGUCUUUUGAAUUUCCCUGUGACUGUCUCUGUGAUGGACUUGAGACUUCUCUUUUCAGUUGCUGGGUAGUCACAGGCAACCCCAUGACCUCAAACAGGAAUAGAGCGGAUUCAGAGUAUAGAAUUAAAAAUCGUACCAUAAACUUCAGAAAGAAGGGGAGACAAAGAAAAAAAAUACUUUUUGUGCUCUUGUGUGUGUGUGUGUCAAACUGGAAGGCAGUGAGUUGUCUAAACAGACUAAAAUAGAUGCAGGCAUUCCUCUCUGUAAUUCUGACUGACUGAUUUUCUCUCUGUCUGACUGAACUGUGUUCAUAAUCCACUGUGGUCAGUUAGCAAACACACAGACAGCAGGGCGGAGCCGCCCUCACUGUAACCGCACACACGCACGUGCGGGUGCAUGUUGGGCACUCUCAACUGCAGUGAAGGGACAGAUCAGGACAUAAUGUGACCCCACAGAAUGAGGAUGACAACCCUGUUCAGAGGAUGAAAGUGUUCCUCUUCUUCUGUCCAUCUCAACCAAACUGGUCCUGCUGAAAGAACAGCUUGAGAUAUGAACUGGUUCAAUUUUUCUAUCCCAAUCCUUCACUCUCUGCCUUAAACCAAAGCUGAUAAAACUUAAAGUGGAAUUCCAGGUGCUGGCAACCUUUUCAUUGCAGAUGCAACACCUUUGAGAAUGUUUUGUCAAUCAUCAGACUCGUCAUCCUAGUUAAACUUUGUAGGUAUACAUAUAUUAUUGGAGCAGUUUUUAAACGUAUCGUGCAUUUUGUAUUACUAGCACCAAAUUGAACAUGGAUGUAUUUUAGGAUCAACUUUUUCAGAAAACCCACGAGAAAAUCAGAGAUUUAAAAAAAGAAAAUAGCAAAAAAAAAAUUACAACUGAGUCUAUGGUCACCAUCUUUACAAAUGGACUCUUCUGAUAGAGGGGAUCCUAAGGUACAUCCAUCCCAAAUGUGGUGCUUGCACCACCAAAUUUGGCAUGGAUGUACUUUAGGAUCCUCUACUUCAGAAAACCCAGGAGAAAAUCUGAGAUUAAAAAAAUAAAAAACAUUGCAAAAUAAUUUGCAAUUUAAUGUAUGGCUGCCAUCUUUACAAAUGGCCACCAUUUUUGACUCUUCUGAAAGAUGGCAUCCAAUAGGGACAUCCAUGCCAAAUUUGGUGCAUGGUACCACCAAAAUAUAGCAUGAACGUAUCGUAGGAUACCCUCUUUCAGAAAGCCCACGGGAAAAAAAUCAGAGAUAAAAAAAAAAAAAAUGUGCAGAAAAACCCCAAAAAUUACUAUUGAGUUCAUGGCUGCCAUCUUUAUAAAUGAACGCCGUUUUGGACUUUUCUAGAAGAAGGCGUCCCAAGGUACAUGCUAAAUUUAGUGCUUGCACCACCAAAUUUGGCAUGAAUGUAUCUUAGGAUUCCCUCUUUCAAAAUACCCAUGAGAAAAUCCGAGAUUUAAAAAAAUUGGCAAAAAAUUUGCAAUUGAUUGUAUAGCUGUAUAGGUGCCAUUUUUACAAAUAAACACCAUUUUGGACUUUCUGAAAGAAGGCGUCCAAAAAGGGACAUCCAUUCAAAAUUUGUUGCGUGUGCCGCGAGAGUUUGGCAUGGAUGUACCUUAGAAUCUGCUCUUUCAGGAAAAAAAAAAAAA